RNAcentral lists this transfer RNA (509 nucleotides) under Pseudomonas syringae pv. syringae. RNAcentral's name for it is "partial 16S-23S ribosomal RNA intergenic spacer". The stretch from base 84 to 157 matches the Rfam family "tRNA". The record is from RNAcentral. Lineage: Bacteria; Pseudomonadati; Pseudomonadota; Gammaproteobacteria; Pseudomonadales; Pseudomonadaceae.
AUCGACGACUCAGCUGCACCAUAAGCACCCACACGAAUUGCUUGAUUCAUUGAAGAAGACGAUUAGAAGCAGCGCCCGAGUUCGGGUCUGUAGCUCAGUUGGUUAGAGCGCACCCCUGAUAAGGGUGAGGUCGGCAGUUCGAAUCUGCCCAGACCCACCAAUUUUGUGUGGGAAACGCCUGUAGAAAUACGGGGCCAUAGCUCAGCUGGGAGAGCGCCUGCCUUGCACGCAGGAGGUCAGCGGUUCGAUCCCGCUUGGCUCCACCACUUACUGCUUCUGUUUUGAAAGCUUAGAAAUGAGCAUUCCAUUGAUCCUGAUGAUCAGUGCCUGAAUGUUGAUUUCUAGUCUUUGAUUAGAUCGUUCUUUAAAAAUUUGGGUAUGUGAUAGAAAGAAAUAUAGACCGGGCACCUCUUUCACUGGUGUGUGUCCGGGCUAAGGUAAAGUUUGUGAAAUGCAAACUUUCGGCGAAUGUCGUCUUCACAGUAUAACCAGAUUGCUUGGGGUUAUAU